AUACCAAUUACUUUAAAUUUAUAUUAAGAUAGUAUAAAAAAAGUAUUGAAUGAAUAAAUAUUUAGAAUUGAUGAGAGACAUAGUUGUAGGUAAAAUUUAAUUAUUUCUAUUGAUUAAAUUUUUCUAGAUAAAUUCUUUGAAAAUAAGGUGUGAAAAACUAGGAUUAGAGACCCUAUUAUUCUUUAUUUUAAAAUUUUUUAGUUACUUAGGUAGUACGAAUAUGGUUAAUAUAUUAAACCUUUUAUGUUUGUUUAAAACUUAAAAGGCUUGGCGGUGUUAUAUAUCCUUCCAGGGGAGCUUGCUUGUUAAUUUGAUAAUCCUCAAUUUAUACUUACUUUUUCUUGAAUGUAAACAGUUUGUGUAUUGCUGUCGUCAGUUUAUUUCGUAAGAAUUUGGAAAAAAACUUGACAACGUAAGGGUUACC
This 424-nucleotide ribosomal RNA is filed under the name Watasenia scintillans (sparkling enope). RNAcentral describes it as "partial 12S rRNA". Lineage: Eukaryota; Metazoa; Mollusca; Cephalopoda; Oegopsida; Enoploteuthidae. The record is from RNAcentral.